AAAUUUCCAUCUAUUCUCAAUGCAGAUUGAGCUUCAAUUGACAAUCGAUAUGCAACUGGUUCAGAUCUCAGUUCUGGAAACAGGAUCACCAUCGCAUGGUAAAGCUCUAUUGAUGUUUACAUGAAUUUGAGGCCUUAAAUUUUAUCCUAAUUUUGUGAUGUAGCACAUUCAUGUUUAUUCAAUAAUAUCAUGCAUUUUUUGCUUGCACUCUAGCAUGCCCAAAUAGAACUCUUUUACCUUUUUCUCCAGCAGAACUUGCCGUUUUGUCUUCCAGUCUUCUUCAGCUGAUUCCUCCAAAGAAAGAAUUGAAACAUUCAGAUAUAUCAUUCUUUCAUGCAUUUUCGAUGAUUGAUCUACAUAAAUAUUACUAACUACACUUACCUGGCGACUUUGCCGGCUUGGUUGCUGCAUUUUGAAUUCUCAAGGGUCCAUAGGUGCUUGAGUUUCUCCCUCUGUUGGAUAAGUUAGUAGAUUCAAUGCUUGAGUUCAAACUAUAGGCUAGAAGAGAAGGGUGAAACUUGUGAUAUAGAGACGAAAAUGAUGGGUGUGGGCUGAUGGAAGUAAAUGCAGCAACCAUUUUCCUAGCCCAAAACUGGAUAUUGGUGCUGUAAUUUGCAGAAGAUUUUUAUUUGCUUUCCUAAGGUUUAGAUGAUAUCUGUCUCUUUGGUUGAUAUUAAAGUCGCUUGAUUCAUUGAUUUGAUCUGGAUUUUCUAUGUUUAAAUGCUUGAAACAUUUGAAAUAGAGGAAAUUGGUGGGCCAAUUAAUGGGAAACGCUAGAUAUUAUAGCGUGCUCACAAUCUACAUUUGUGGUGGUAGUGCGAAGAUUUCCUUCUACUUGGGAUUUUCUAAAUCUCUUAUCAUUUGUUGUUUUCCUGCUUUAGGAUAAUAAGUCGCCAUUCUCUCUCUCUCUCUCUCUCUCCUAUACGUGUGAGACUAAUUAGGUAUGAUUGAGUUCGAGUUAGAUCUAUAGGAUAAAGUGUCACAGCUUUAUUUAUUUAUUUAUGUUAAACCCAUGUUGAGAAACCCCACCUUUGAAUAAUCAGAAAUUUAUUCAAUAUUUUGGCUUUACUUUUCAGUGCUAAUGAUUCUUAAUUUAGUUGAGUAUUUGUAGUCUACGAAACUUGAGAAGCACUAGUUGAUUUGCUGUGUGCACUUACACAGAUUCAAAGCAAUGCUGCUUGUGUCACAUUGCUUCAAAUUGGAGAAUACCAACCAUUAAAUUCUUUCCUCAUGAGUUAUGGAUAAUGUGGAUAAAUAGUUUAUAUGUCAUACAUGUCAAGUACUAUCAUAUAAUAAUGCAUAUGUUAUUCAUGUUUACACGACUGCGUCUUUCUAUAUGAAUCAAUAAAUUAUGAAUGCAUAUUUAAUGUACGUUUUACAAGUUUAUUAUAUGUAAUAGUAUAUAAUAAAAUUUUCUAGUGGUUAUAUAUGUCAAACUUUUAAACUUAAGUAUUUGAUUAUUAAAUGAUUUUAUAUGGAGUAAUAUUUUUCUUUUUUAUUUGAUUUUAGUUUAUAUUUUAUAUUUAGGGUAAAUAAGUAUUUUUGUAUUUAAUGCAGUGCGCUAAUUUCAUGACAAAUGCUGACUAUUUAUGGAGCCUUUGACUGAAAGACGUGUUUCGGGGUAUUUAAUUUGUGACAUAUGAUAUGAUAUGAUAUGAUAUGAUAUGAUAUGAACAAGCAGGUCACAUGUAACAAUCCGCGGGUUUGAACCAUUUGACUUCGUUGGCAUUGGAGUUGGGUAAGAUUUUUUAAUAAAUAAAAAUACUUCCCUAAUGACUACUCAUUAUUUUUAAGCUGAAUGAACUUUGUCAUGCAUAGUGAUACAUGCCCAUGAUUCUUGCAUAUCGCACAUGCUUAAGAGAGUUUUAUAUUCGAUUUUCUUUUUAAUGAAUAAACCACCGUUUGUACGUGUUUUUUUUUGACAAAUAUGAAUGUUAAUGUGUUUGCGAAGAAUAUAAAAGCAACAAUAUAGAUAUCUUUUUUAUGGUGUAUAGAUAUCUUCUUAUGGUGCGUUUUCUUUGGUUGUAAAUUUAUCAUGAGAAAUGAUGGAUAAAUAAAAUUUCACCCUUUAAAUCCUUCAUUUCUUUUUCCACAUUUCCUACUUGACCCUUACUCAUUCCUCAUUUACACUACAAAGGAGGGAUACUAUUAUCCCUCCAAAAAUGGUGUGAUAAUAUUAUCGCUCAUUUGUAGUGUGCAUGAGGAAUGAGUAAUGGUCAAGUAGAAAAUAUGGGAAAAGAAUUUAAAGGGUGAAAUUUACAACCAAAUAGAACGCACCCUUAGAGUCUUUUUAUUUCAACAAAUAAGAAUAGGUUGGGGUUUUUUAUGAGUAAUAUAUUUUUAGAAAUCUCCUUAUUGUACAAUAUUUCAUAAACUAACUAUAUAUUACUAUAAUUUAUUCUUGUAGUACAACUUAGUUGGAUGUGUAGACCAUAAUAAUGGUCUCUACAUACUCAUUAGCUCGCUGUUUACUCCAUUUACAAAGUUUUAGAGAUGGCGAGAUCAUGGAUGUCCUUGAAUAGAGUGUUCUUUAUUUAUUUAUUUUUCAGAAAAAUUGGUAUAUUUGUUAGGCUUUGAUUUUUUUUUUCCUACAAAAAUAAAAACUCUUAAAAAAUACUAAUACCAACUUUACCAUAAUCAGUAUAAAUCAUAGGGAAAGUUUUUAUAGUCCGAAACGUUAUAAAAUGUUGUCGGUCUUAUGGUAGGAAAUCAACUCAAGGAUGGAAUUAUUAGUUCUUAGAUCUCUAAUUUUUGUCAUGAUACAGAAAUCCAUGCCAUUAUUCAUGGGACAUCAUUUAUUGCCACUAUAAUCAAUUGACUAUACACAAAUAAUGACAUUUGCUCAUGCUAGAUGCCAAAAUUUACAUGCAAAUAGGAGCAGGAAUGAGGAAGGCAGAAGGCAAGCCAUGAUUUCUUAUUGGAGGCUAAUUUAUAGAAAACUAAUGAUUAUAAAUAAAAUUGAAAUACGUGUACUUCAUAACAACAAACAAGGUUAUAAUGUUUCUCCAAAAAGAACAAAGAAAAAAAAAACAAGAAGAAUAUUUUUUUUGACAAACAUAAAAAAUCUUCGUAGUUCAAAUGAAAAAAANAAGGUUGAAAUAAUGUUUGGAAUUAAGUAAACCUCGUAAUAUUACAAAAUCUGCAGGUUUCAAUUUCAAACACUUUGCUAGUUUGUUUUUGUUUUUUGUUUCCACAUCCCUAUUUUCCAUUCUUUAGAUGCCGGCCUAAGCACUUCGAAUCCAUUUGUUUUAUUAUAUUUUCACUAUGCUAUUUUUUAAAAUUCCACCAACAUUUCUUUCAACUUUAUAUGGUCAUUGCAUCUAAAAUCAGUACUUAUAUAUUUCUGUUUAUUUACUCGUAACUAUAAAUUCAAGGCGAGUCCAACCAUAAAAAAAAUAUACACAUAUUUCAUUUUUCAAACCUACGAUCCAAAAUUAAAUGUCACCACCAAUCCCCAAAUAUUUUUUGUGAUUAUCAAUGCCAUUUAUUUACAAGUUGGUAAAUUGCACGGGAACUGAAAAUGGAAACUGUAUGAAAAUAAAUCCAAACUAAAGUUUUUAAAAUGAAUCAUUAUGGAUUACUUAUGAUUCAGAAUCAGAUCGGAACCAAAAAAAUCUUAAAUGUUUUAUGAGAAAAUAAAGAAAGAAAAACUUGGAUCAUAGUUUAAUAAAUAGUUGAAAAGAAUUAACAAAAGAAGGACUAAUCNGAGUAAUGUUUAAGUAGAAAAUGUGGGAAAAGAAUUUAAAGGGUGAAAUUUUGUUUAUCCUUCAUUUUUCCGUGAUAAAUUUACAACUAAAGAUAACACACCCUUAGAGUCUUUUUUUAUUCAACAAAUAGAAUAGGUUGGGGUUUUUUAGGUAAUAUAUUUUAGAAAUCUCCUUAUUGUACAAUAUUUCAUAAACUAACUAUAUAUUACUAUAAUUUAUUCUUGUAGUACAACUUAGUUGGAUGUGUAGACCAUAAUAAUGGUCUCUACAUACUCAUUAGCUCGCUGUUUACUCCAUUUACAAAGUUUUAGAGAUGGCGAGAUCAUGGAUGUCCUUGAAUAGAGUGUUCUUCAUUUAUUUAUUUUUCAGAAAAAUUGGUAUAUUUGUUAGGCUUUGAUUUUUUUUUCCUACAAAAUAAAAACUCUUAAAAAAUACUAAUACCAACUUUACCAUAAUCAGUAUAAAUCAUAGGGAAAGUUUUUAUAGUCCGAAACGUUAUAAAAUGUUGUCGGUCUUAUGGUAGGAAAUACAACUCAAGGAUGGAAUUAUUAGUUCUUAGAUCUCUAAUUUUUGUCAUGAUACAGAAAUCCAUGCCAUUUUUCAUGGGACAUCAUUUAUUGCCACUAUAAUCAAUUGACUAUACACAAAUAAUGACAUUUGCUCAUGCUAGAUGCCAAAAUUUACAUGCAAAUAGGAGCAGGAAUGAGGAAGGCAAGCCAUGAUUUCUUAUUGGAGGCUAAUUUAUAGAAAACUAAUGAUUAUAAAUAAAAUUGAAAUAUGUGUACUUAAUAACAACAAACAAGGUUAUAAUGUUUCCCCAAAAAGAACAAAGAAAAAUACAAGAAUAUUUUUUUUGAUAAACAUAAAAAAUCUUCAUAGUUCAAAUGAAAAAAAAAAGGGUUGAAAUAAUGUUUGGAAUUAAGUAAACCUCGUAAUAUUACAAAAUCUGCAGGUUUCAAUUUCAAACACUUUGCUAGUUUGUUUUUGUUUUUUGUUUCCACAUCCCUAUUUUCCAUUCUUUAGAUGCCGGCCUAAGCACUUCGAAUCCAUUUGUUUUAUUAUAUUUUCACUAUGCUAUUUUUUAAAAUUCCACCAACAUUUCUUUCAACUUUAUAUGGUCAUUGCAUCUAAAAUCAGUACUUAUAUAUUUCUGUUUAUUUUCCCGUUUGCGCUGAUGCGGCGUCUCCAGUGGUUCCGGAGGUGACCAGAGCAGGGAAGAUUCAUGAUGCGUUCGGUGGGCAUCCUGUGCUGCACGCUCGGCUUGGUCCAGCCACUGCAGAUUUCUCUGGAUGGCCAGUGCAGCCCCCUCGGGUUUUGUUGUUGGCUCUUUUGUGCUUGAGCUGUGUUUCUUCCGGCUUAGGGGGACGAGUCGCCGAUGGGUUUUGGUUUGGCCGUAAUCUGUGGCGGCGAAUUUCCCGUCCCCCUGAACUGUGGUUUUGUUUUUUGGUUUUUCGUUAGGUCGUGUUGCGCCUUACAUUGGUCCCUUGCUGUACUGCUUUUCGUUACACCGGUUUUGUAACAACUUUUCUUUCUUUCUUUUCAAUAAAAUUUUCAUUUCAGCAGU
This 5271-nucleotide long non-coding RNA is filed under the name Salvia miltiorrhiza (redroot sage). Its description in RNAcentral is "long non-coding RNA (SMIL_LNC004799)". The record is from RNAcentral. Lineage: Eukaryota; Viridiplantae; Streptophyta; Magnoliopsida; Lamiales; Lamiaceae.